Molecule: ribosomal RNA, 464 nt
Filed under: uncultured bacterium
Lineage: Bacteria
Description: partial 16S ribosomal RNA
Rfam family: Bacterial small subunit ribosomal RNA
Source: RNAcentral
GACGAACGCUGGCGGCGUGCUUAACACAUGCAAGUCGAACGGUAAGGCCCCUUCGGGGGUGCGCGAGUGGCGAACGGGUGAGUAACACGUGAGCAACCUGCCCUUGACUUUGGUAUGCCAGACGUAAACAGCUGCUAAUACCGGAUAGAUCCUCUUCUCUCAUGGGUUGUGGGGGAAAGCUCCGGCGGUCAGGGAUGGGCUCGCGGCCUAUCAGCUUGUUGGUUGGGUAAUGGCUCACCAAGGCUUCGACGGGUAGCCGGCCUGAGAGGGCGACCGGCCACACUGGGACUGAGAUACGGCCCAGACUCCUACGGGAGGCAGCAGUGGGGAAUAUUGCACAAUGGGCGCAAGCCUGAUGCAGCAACGCCGCGUGCGGGAUGACGGCCUUCGGGUUGUAAACCGCUUUCAGUAGGGACGAAGCUAACGUGACGGUACCUACAGAAGAAGGACCGGCUAACUACGUG